UGCAAGGGCACUCUGUGAUAACCAUAAUUGAUAUGUUAUUUACAAUUUGUUACCUUGCUACAUAAAAUUCUACUAAACCCUAUUCCGAUCAGCUAAGACAUGGCGGUUCGGUCAUAUUAGUAGAUACAGUUUU
Small nucleolar RNA from Zerene cesonia (dogface butterfly), 133 nucleotides. RefSeq annotates it as small nucleolar RNA psi18S-841/snoR66. NCBI's taxonomy places the organism in Eukaryota, Metazoa, Arthropoda, Insecta, Lepidoptera, Pieridae. The transcript has a single exon. The record is from RefSeq and is a predicted model, not a curated record.